AUUUUAUUUACUAAUACUUUCCACUAUCAUAGUUAUUUUGAUAAAUAUUAAUAUUUGCAACAUAUCUUUAUAGACGUAUGCAAAGUUUUGAGAGACCGCGGUUUAUAAAACAUUUACAACCAAAGUAAAUGCUGACAAAUAUUUGCUUAUUUUUGCAAACAUUUGUCGGAUGUAUUUAUGUACGUAAAGAAAUGCAUUUUAUUUACUUCAUAGUUAGUAUAUGAAACAUUGAUACUGUGAAGUUGUCUUCACACAGGUAUAGCUUUGCGAGACUGCAGUUUAUAUAUCGCAUGCACAACAAACGUAAAUGAGGGUCGUGAUUAGAGCUAAAAGAAGAAAAAAAGAAAAUAAUUUACUCCCAAAAAAAUAGAUAAAAAGGGUCUAAUAUAUACAGAAUAGAAAAUAAUCAUGACAAUGGGCAUAAAAUAUAAAAGAAAUAGAGGAAUAUGAUCUAAAUUAUCAUAGAAUACAGAUAUGAAAGACCCCAUUCAGACCCUAGUAAAUGCUGUAAGAU
This 514-nucleotide long non-coding RNA is filed under the name Mytilus galloprovincialis (Mediterranean mussel). Lineage: Eukaryota; Metazoa; Mollusca; Bivalvia; Mytilida; Mytilidae. The record is from RNAcentral.